GUAGUUAGCCGGGGCUUUCUAAUGGGGUACCGUCAUUUUUUCGUCCCCCACAACAGAGGUUUACAAUCCGAAAACCUUCUUCCCUCACGCGGCGUUGCUGGGUCAGGCUUGCGCCCAUUGCCCAAUAUUCCCCACUGCUGCCUCCCGUAGGAGUCUGGACCGUGUCUCAGUUCCAGUGUGGCCGAUCAGCCUCUCAGCUCGGCUACCCAUCGCAGGCUUGGUGGGCUGUUAUCUCACCAACUACCUAAUGGGACGCGAACCCCUCCUUCAGCGGAUUGCUCCUUUGACCUCAUCCCGAUGCCGGGUCGUGGUCUUAUGCGGUAUUAGCACUUGUUUCCAGGUGUUAUCCCCCUCUGAAGGUCAGGUUGUUCACGCGUUACUCACCCGUUCGCCACUAAAAUUUAUCUUCCAUCCGAAAACUUCUGAUAAAUCUCCGUUCGACUUGCAUGUGUUAGGCACGCCGCCAGCGUUCGUCCUGAACCAAGAUCAAAUUCUGA
Molecule: ribosomal RNA, 497 nt
Filed under: uncultured bacterium
Lineage: Bacteria
Description: partial 16S ribosomal RNA
Source: RNAcentral